RNAcentral lists this ribosomal RNA (490 nucleotides) under uncultured bacterium. RNAcentral's name for it is "partial 16S ribosomal RNA". It matches the Rfam family "Bacterial small subunit ribosomal RNA", at positions 30 to 507 of the family's 1533-position model. The record is from RNAcentral.
AUUGAACGCUGGCGGCAGGCUUAACACAUGCAAGUCGAGCGGUAGCACAGGGGAGCUUGCUCCCUGGGUGACGAGCGGCGGACGGGUGAGUAAUGUCUGGGAAACUGCCUGAUGGAGGGGGAUAACUACUGGAAAGGUUGCCUAAUACGGCUUAACGUCGCAGGCCCAAAGAGGGGGACCUCCGGGCCUCUGGCAAUCAGAUGUGCCCAGAUGGGAUUGGCUAGUAGGUGGGGUAAUGGCUCACCUAGGCGACGAUCCCUAGCUGGUCUGAGAGGAUGACCAGCCACACUGGAACUGAGACACGGUCCAGACUCCUACGGGAGGCAGCAGUGGGGAAUAUUGCACAAUGGGCGCAAGCCUGAUGCAGCCAUGCCGCGUGUGUGAAGAAGGCCUUCGGGUUGUAAAGCACUUUCAGCGAGGAGGAAGGUGGUGAGCUUAAUACGUUCAUCAAUUGACGUUACUCGCAGAAGAAGCACCGGCUAACUCCGUG